CGAUCCUGAGAGGAUGUAGAGUUGUGAAAUGGAAAAGACAUCAGUUAUGGUAAGUGUUUGUAAAACGAUGCGCCUAGAGACUGUCCUUGUGCCUGAAGUGAUUUCUCUCUACUGCUUUGAGAACUAAGUUGUUUGCUGUGUGGGGAAGGGUCCAUGUAGGCACCUCAUACCAGGAGAAGAUGAGCUUCCCAGAGUGGUGACUUCACAUGUCUCUGUAAUUAUGCUCAGCAGGCUCAAUAACCACUGGAAAACAAAGGUGUAGAAAAACUGACUCUUGGUAGGCAUACAGUUCAACUGGUGUGAGCCCAAGUGACUGACAUUCUAGAGAAUGCCUACGGUCUUCCAACGGUCAGUGCAAUGGGCAGUCGGCACGUCUUACGAGGAAAUGAAGCGUGUUGGAUAAGCAGACCAAACAGCUGUGAGAACGCUGCCACUGUGAGAGCUUUAAGUGGCCUCAAUUCCUCUUUUUUGAAGUACACUUUAUGUUUUACAAUAAUUUGAGAUGUACAGAAAAGCUGCAAGGAUACCACAGAGUGUCCCUCAGUGUCCCCCACUGUUAACAUCACAUUAUAAUAGUAUGUUUGCCACAACUAGGAAACCAACAUUGGUUCGUGAAAAUUACCUAAAACUCUAUUAGGAUUUUACUCAUCUUUCCACUGACGUUCUUUUGCUGUGCCAGGAUCCCAUCCAAGUGAACACACUAGAGUCAGUCACCAUGCCUCCUGAGCCUCUUCUGGUCUGCGGCAGUUUCUCAAACUUCCCUUGUUUUUCAUAACCUUCACAGUUUUGAGGAAUACUAGCCGUGUAUCCUAAAGAAUGUCCCCAAUCAACAUUCAUCUGUUUUACUCAUGAUUAGACUGGGCUAUGGGUUUUAGGGAAGAAUACCGAAGAGGUGAAGUGGCCUUCUCAUCACAUCGUGUCAACAAUCACAUCAUCAACAGGACUUUCCACUGAGGAUGUGAACAAUUACUGGCCAUGGCAGCAUCCAACAGGCUUCUCCACUGUAAAGUCGCUUCGUUUUCCCCUUCCCAUACUCUACUUUUUGGAAGCAAGUCAUUAUGUGUAGCCCACAUUCAAGAAGGCGUUGGAGGCGGAAUCGUCUUCACCAGGGAAUAUCUACAUUAAACAUUUGAAAUUCUUCUGUAAAGAAGCAUUGUCUUCUGUCUCCCAUCUCCCAUUUAUUUAUUUAUUCAUUCAGUUGUUUAUAUCAGUAUAGACUCAUGGAUAACUAUGUACUGAGUUAUAAUCCAACAGUACCUGAGUUAGUUCCAGUUUUGGCCAUUGGGAGCUCUUUCAGGUUAGCUCCUGGGUCCCUUUCACAUGUCCUAUCCUUCCACUUACUGGAACAAGUACCAGUACCUUGUUCUGGUACUACACGAUGCUCUAGGCUCAUCUUGUAUUUUCCCUGCCCCAGCCCCAGAAUCAGCAAUGUCUGCAAGGAGCCCUGGUUUCUUUCACUAGAGAAUGGUAUUAGAAACCCGGAUCUGGGUACUGGGUGUGUUCAUUGUUACUGCGGUGUCACUGCUUUAGGCCCUCUCACAGCAGGCAGAGCUAGGACAUAUGUAUAUGCAUAACCCAUGUAUACACACACACCUAUAAUUAUUUCUGCUUCUAUCCAUCUGAAUCUAUAUUAAGCUAACUAUGAAUUCUUAUUGACAUCUUGGACAAAUCCAUUACUACCUGGCUCAUUUUAGCCUUUUCUACUAAUCUGUAACUUCCCUCUCCAACAAUAAGAAACUUGGCUCCCUCCAUCAAUUGGUUUAAUAUUAAGGACUAACUUUCUACCUUUUUCUCUACUUCAUCUAAUUUUACAAAUUUAUCAUCUGUAAUUUCCACAUUUCAUUGAAAGGAAUAUAUAACCAGGAGGAGAAAUAACAAAAAUAUGAAAUACCUUUCAAGUUCUCCAAGUUCUUAUCACAACAGUGAAGAAGUGAACAUUUAAAUCUAGUCACCAUUGAGACCACUGGACCCUUCUGAUUACAGGCUCUCAGGAAAGUAAACAUCAUCAAAAGAGGAUAACUAUACUUUGCCUUUUCUUUUUGCCACAAUAUCCUGUUGCAGCAGUUGUUUAGAAUAACUAUCCAAUUUAUCAUCUUCCCCAAGAAGUUUGAGUUAUCAAGGCUGGAAGAAUUUAUGUUAAAGAGAAAGAAUUUCUUUGUAAGAAAUUCUUCCGUUUUUACAAUUAUUAGGGUAAUGGGUUUCUUGACAGUGGCAUUGCAAUGAAGCCCAGAAUUAUAUUUGAUUAAUUCAAGUCAUCUUAAAUCUGUAGAUGUUUAAAAAAAAAAACUUAAAAAAAAUCUAUGGAAAUUCCAGAUCUGGUUAUAACCUUCUGUCUUUGAAAAGUUGUCAUAUUUGGAAUAUUAUCACCUUCAGUGUAUGAACGAUAGAAGUAUUAUUGCCAUAAUAUCAUUAUUAAUUAAAAUAUCGUUACUUCUAAGGCUCAGUGGACUCUGGUCAGCAUUGAUAUACCAUGGGUGCCUGGCUGGCAAUAAACAAGACAUCAUAUUCAGAAA
RNAcentral lists this long non-coding RNA (2513 nucleotides) under Homo sapiens (human). RNAcentral's name for it is "HSALNT0324242". The record is from RNAcentral. Lineage: Eukaryota; Metazoa; Chordata; Mammalia; Primates; Hominidae.